Phyllosticta citrichinensis is the source of this 103-nucleotide non-coding RNA. Lineage: Eukaryota; Fungi; Ascomycota; Dothideomycetes; Botryosphaeriales; Phyllostictaceae. The record is from the annotation of a GenBank genome assembly.
GGUCUUAUGGUCUAGUGGUAUGAUUCUCGCUUAGGGUUCACCCUGAGUAUCGCUGAUAACAGCUGCUUGCGAGAGGCCCCGCGUUCGAGUCGCGGUAAGACCC